This 329-nucleotide long non-coding RNA is filed under the name Pan troglodytes (chimpanzee). RNAcentral's name for it is "long non-coding RNA NONPTRT001584". Lineage: Eukaryota; Metazoa; Chordata; Mammalia; Primates; Hominidae. The record is from RNAcentral.
GUUUGUACCCUGCUUGGAAAAGUAUUAGGGAAAAAUUGGAAUGAGUUUAAUGUUGAAUCGUGUGUAAUAUUUAGGGGAGGUCCACGCUUGAACCCAGGAGGCAGAGAUUGCGGUGAGCCGAGGUCACGCCAUUGCACUCCAGCCUGGGCAACAAGAGUGAAACUCCGUCUCAAAAAAAAAGAAAGAGAAAAAUUACCUGUUUAUGGAGAUAACUGUUCACAGUGGAUAAAAUCAACACUGAGGAACUUUAGCAGAACAUAGACCUGACCUAUCACUGCCCAUGUCUUAGUCUGCUACUUCUCUUUGGGGUCUGUCAUCCAAUCAGUUGU